AUGAAGGAUUAUUCUGUGUUUUCUGUUAUUCACUUCAGUGAUGUUGAGUUUGAGGAGGUGAAUUGGAGCCUAAGUACAUCUGGAACAUUUCCUUUUGCAUUUGGCAUUUGCAGACUGGAAGGUGGUGUUGCAGCAGUAUUUUUCUCAGUCCACUUAGAAGAUAAAGACCAAGCCUUACAUUGCUCGCCUCAAGGAUGUGAUGCAGAACUGAUUUUCCAACACCAAAGAAAAACAGGCUGCUGUCCUAGACUAGGCGCUCCACAGCAUUCCACUCUGACCUUCAUCUUUUGAUUAUUAUUUGAGAAAAACCACCACCACCAUCAGACAGCAGCAACAACCUUUAUAUGCAGGGUCCCUGGAGAUCAGGUAUGGUAUAGGCUGGGUAUUCUCAGAUGAGACACUCUCUGUUCAACUGAGAUUACUCUUACAGAAAAAGAACUUCCUGUAGAGAGAAGACCACACAUCCUAUGUAUAAGAUAGUUCUCAGGGAGGUGAAGGGACAAUCUUUUGUGAACUUCAAGGUUCAUUUAAAAGUAAACAAUCUAACAGAACUUCCUUUCACUGGAUUAAAGGAAGCUAGGGACUCUAGACAAAAGAUAAGGGACAAAAGAAUUUUGGGGGCUUUCUUACAUUUAUAGUUUUACCAUUUAAAAAAAAAAUGUCCAAGGCCAGGCACGGUGGCUCAAGCCUGAAAUCCCAGCACUUUGGGAGGCCGAGGUGGAUGGAUCACAAGGUCAAGAGAUCGAGACCAUCCUGGUCAACAUGGUGAAACCCCGUCUCUACUAAAAAUACAAAAAAUUAGCUGGGCAUGGUGGUGCGUGCCUGUAAUCCCAGCUACUUGGGAGGCUGAGGCAGGAGAAUUGCCUGAACCCAGGAGGCAGAGGUUGCGGUGAGCCGAGAUCAUGCCAUUGCACUCCAGCCUGGGUAACAAGAGCGAAACUCCAUCUCAAAAAAAAAAAAGUCCAUCUGCUUUCCUAAAAUGAUCAUCAGUGAUCAGCAUACAUUGAAAAAGAUCUGUGCACAGCAUUGUCCCCCCUAUUCAUGAGGGAUAUUAUAUAAGAGGUCUUGAGGAUGCCUGAAAUCCCAGAUAGUAUUGACCCCCAUAUAUGCUAUGAUUUUUCCUGUACUUAGACACCUAUGUUAAAGUUUAAUUUACAAAUUAGGCAACUAAGAGGUUCACAACAAUAACUAAUAAUAAAAUAGAACAAUUGUGCCAAUAUACUGCAAUAAAAUUUAUGUGAAUGAGAUCUCUCUCACAAAUAUCUUACUGUUCUCAACUUUCUUGUAAUGAUGUGAGAUGAUAAAUGCCUAAGUGAUCAGAUGAAAUGAGAUAAAUGAUGUAGGAACUCUGAUGUAGAGUUAGGCUACAAUUGGAUCAUCUGCUUUUGGGUGAUCUUGCAUCAAGGAGCCAUGACAAUGUUGAUGGUUGGAUGUCUGGAGUAGACAACAUCAGUGACUAGUGGGCAGGCAGCAUGUACAGCAUGGAUACUGUGUACAAAGGAAAGGUGCACAUGGUGGGCAGGACAGAGAGAGAUAUCUUGAGAGUUCCUCAUGCUCCUCAGAAUGGCACACAAUUUAAAACUUGUUAAUUAUUUCUGGAGCUUUCCAUUUAAUAGUUUUGAAUCACCAUUUACCACAGGUAACUGAAAUUGCAAAAAGCAAAACCAUGGAUGAGGUGUCAGGGAUGGGCUACAGUAUUUUUCUCGGGGAUCAGGUAGUGAGACUGUGUCCAGUGUUUAGACACUGUUGGGGCAGAAGCCCAAAGAAUAGUACGAAAAGAUGAAAAUCUGUUGACUGAUCCUACAACAUAAAUGAGGUGGGUAUUUAAUUCAUUUAUUGUGAAGUGAAUGUUCAGAAAUGAAUUUCUUUUAUUUCUCUAAAACUCAACUUGCUCAUCAUGUUUAUUUGUAUUUGGUGCUUAUCAAAGCAUAAAUUUCAAAAAAUUACAAGCAUGACUCGAAUAUAAAAUCAAUAAAUGUCAAAGACUGAAUUAAUAACUGAAGAAACUAGAGGGAUAGUAAAGCUAAUUACAAACUGCACAGGACAAGCAGAAAUAUUAUAGUAACUGGAAAAAAUGCUGGAAUAAGUUCAUUACAUUAAAAUUUAAAAUCUUGGGUUUUACUCUUUUCUAUCAGAAAAUAACUAUUUGUAUCUCUAUGGUGCAAAAUUAAUUUGAAAUGUUAUUGAACAAAAAUUAUUUGAAUUUCUGUCAGCUUUCUACAAAUUAAAUUUCUUUUUCAGAAUUGUAAUAUACUUUAAUUAAUAGAAAAUAGUAAGUUGAAACAAAGCUAUAUACCCUUAGACAAUCAACUUUUUGUCUGUUUUCAACUUUGAGAUUUUUUCUUUUAAUGUGCUGAUGUAAUUAAUUAUAUUUUCUCUCAAACUGAGAAGCACAGGGUAAUUUCUUCUGAAUUAUAAUUCCAAUAAGG
Molecule: long non-coding RNA, 2429 nt
Filed under: Callithrix jacchus (white-tufted-ear marmoset)
Lineage: Eukaryota; Metazoa; Chordata; Mammalia; Primates; Cebidae
Description: lncRNA (ENSCJAG00000086273.1)
Source: RNAcentral